This 523-nucleotide ribosomal RNA is filed under the name Acidobacteriota bacterium. Its description in RNAcentral is "bacterial SSU rRNA". It matches the Rfam family "Bacterial small subunit ribosomal RNA", at positions 384 to 916 of the family's 1533-position model. The record is from RNAcentral. Lineage: Bacteria; Pseudomonadati; Acidobacteriota.
UGACCAAGCAACGCCGCGUGGGUGAUGAAGUCUCUUGGGACGUAAAACCCUUUCGACGGGGAAGAAACCGCAAGGUUGACGGUACCCGUAGAAGAAGCCCCGGCUAACUCCGUGCCAGCAGCCGCGGUAAUACGGGGGGGGCAAGCGUUGUUCGGAAUUACUGGGCGUAAAGGGUGCGUAGGCGGUGCGCUAAGUCGGAUGUGAAAACUCUGGGCUCAACCCAGAGCCUGCAUCCGAAACUGGCGUGCUAGAGUUCUGGAGGGGGUAGCGGAAUUCCUGGUGUAGCGGUGAAAUGCGUAGAUAUCAGGAGGAACACCGGUGGCGAAGGCGGCUACCUGGACAGAAACUGACGCUGAGGCACGAAAGCUAGGGGAGCAAACAGGAUUAGAUACCCUGGUAGUCCUAGCCCUAAACGAUGGAUACUUGGUGUGACUGGGAUUGAAUCCAGUCGUGCCGAAGCUACGCAUUAAGUAUCCCGCCUGGGGAGUACGGUCGCAAGGCUGAAACUCAAAGGAAUUGAACG